Molecule: long non-coding RNA, 403 nt
Organism: Corapipo altera (White-ruffed manakin)
Lineage: Eukaryota; Metazoa; Chordata; Aves; Passeriformes; Pipridae
Exons: 3
Source: RefSeq, a predicted model, not a curated record
ACUUUACCUGCUGGAGCCGCUCUCCGUGCACCUCGAGGAAGACCAGGUUGUUCCUGUGUUGUGCAGAGACCUUGCUUGUUGGAGUGCUGGUGUCUGUUCCUGGCAGCAAUGACAAGACCGAGUGCAGGAACAAGGAGGUGUUCUGGUACAAACCACUUGUCUGAAGUAAACAAUGUCUUUUAGGACUUUCCUAGUAUCUGAGGCACCUGCUGUUUAGAUCUGCAGCAGACUUGCUGGAUUCUGUGUGUGGAGUGUGUGAAACGUGGUUGUUCUUCUUGCAGGAUAAGAAGUUUUGCCUUCAUUGCUGUAUCUAAAACGGGGUCUGGGGCUUGUGUAAACUUCAGUGAAAUCCAAACUGAAUCCAUCAGGUUCCAUGAAACCAUUCCACCUUCACACUGCUGGA